GUGCAGGUGGAGGUGCUGGCUGCCUUCUGAGACGCUCCAUUGCUUGUUCAAGGGUUUCUUCAAGGUCACCUGGAGAAGGCAGCUUUCUUGACAGGAAGCAAUUAGGACAGAGCUGCACUGGAGCCGCCCUGGGUCCCGUCCCCGGCUCUCAUAGGCCCAAGCAUUUAUCUAAGCAUUGCUCGUCUCCAGGCCAUUGGCUCCCCACGUCUCAACCUCUGUGAAGACGGGCAAUCCUCCAGCAACAGCCCCUCAUGUUUACACAGUUUGUCACCGCCAUCCCUGGCAGCCAGGCCAAGCACAUUGAAGUCUCUUACUGUCUGGAUAUGAAGUGGGGACCUAGCUGCAGACAGUGCAUCAUUAGGAGUGGAUCGUUGUGGGUACAGUGUCCCGCUACCAGGACACCCGGCCUCUUCGUGGAAUCUGAAACAAGGGGUGUCUGUUCCAGCUGUCCGACUGAGCCCCGUAACCAAAAUGGAAAGGAAGACUCAGAGGAUUGCUGUUCUACACCGGGGGCUCGAACUCAGAUGUAUGGACAUCAACGCCGUCGCUUAGUGUACCUUCUCAGCUACGGGAGCUAACACGGAUGUGAAAGGGGACAGCGAGGGUGAAGAUAGUCAGAGGGAAAAAACUAAGGGGAGAGAUGGUUACAUGAAGAGAUAGCACUGUGAGAACCCUGUCAGAAACAGCAGGCCAGCUCCCCACGACCAAGGAAGGGGGCUCACAGCCGGACUGAAACCUUCCAUUCUGCUCAUGACUGCCUGGGGGAGGACAGAGUAGGAAAAGGCCUAAAACAGGGAACCACCCAGCCUAGGGUGAGGCCAGAGAGGGAAGUGACUUGACAAAAAGACAAUGCCAGGAAAUACCACAAAUAUCACAAGGUGGGCAGGACCGGGCCAAAGGACCUCCGCUAAAUGUGUAUAAAAAGGUGUAUGCUUUGUGAGCUCAGGGUCUCCUCUGGCCAGCGUGCUGGGGGACCCCAAUGCACGUUGGAACAAUAAACCUCUUGCAGUUUGCCACCUUUCCGGUCUCUGUGGCCUUAUUGAGUGGGGGGUCUUCCGAUGGACUCUUACAUCUGGUGGGCUGGCCAAGAAGCCCCCCUCAGGACCCAGAUUGCCGGGGAUCGGCGAUCAAGGCCCACGUUUGGGGUAGGAUGGCCAGCCCAGGGCUCCUUUUCCUAUCAUCAAAGGCGUCAAGAAGCAAAUCUUCAGGAUCGGUCCGACCCCCGCCUGUGAGGACCUACGCUCUCAAGGAGGCCCCCAGGAAGACCAUCUUAUCAGACCCUGAUGCCAACCUCCUCCUUUUAGACCUCCCUCCGCCCUACCCCCUCCUUCCCUUCAGCCACAGGGAGCAGAAUGCCUCGCCCCUGAGUCGCCACUUCCUUCAGGCACCCAGAGAGACUCCUCCGUUCCACCAGCCCCCCUUCUCGGGUCGGAAGGACUUCGGGAGGGGCUGGCACAGGGGACUCUGAGCAAAAGACCCCUGUGACUCUCCUCCUCCGGCGUUCGCCCCCUUGAUAAUCAAGGAAACCAACCCCUGCAAUGCUGGUCAUUCUCUCCAGCAGGACCAUUCUCUAUGAUUGGAAAUUCGGCCACAAUCCUUCCUUUUCUGAUAACCUUAAGGCCCUUAUUGAUUUUCUAGACUCUCUCUUUUUUCUCAUCAGCCCACUUGGGAUGAUUGUCAGCAGCUGUUGCAGGUCCUCUUUUACCACUGAGGAAAGACAGAGAAUCCUACCAGAGGCCAGAAAGAAUGUUCCAGGCUCAGUUAGGAGGCCCUCACUACUGCCUGUUGACCAAUAAUUUUAAAUGUUGCUCGGGGUAACCAAUCGCAGUCAUCCAACUCAGGCAACCACUAAACUUCCCGCCAAAAUGUGUAUAAAAAGGGUAUGCUUUGUGAGCUCAGGGUCUCCUCUUGCCUGUGUGCUGGGGGACCCCAAUGCACGUUGGAAAAUAAACCUUGCAGUU
Molecule: long non-coding RNA, 1961 nt
Organism: Apodemus sylvaticus (European woodmouse)
Lineage: Eukaryota; Metazoa; Chordata; Mammalia; Rodentia; Muridae
Exons: 5
Source: RefSeq, a predicted model, not a curated record